This 31-nucleotide non-coding RNA is filed under the name Homo sapiens (human). Lineage: Eukaryota; Metazoa; Chordata; Mammalia; Primates; Hominidae. The record is from RNAcentral.
UUGCAAUUAGAGCCCAUUCCCACGGUGGUGU